CGAAUUUUUUGCAUUUUUUUCGAAGAUUAAAUACGUUUCACACACUUAAAAAUACCCUAAAAAACUUAAAAUCGGUGUUAAAAAUUCUUUUCGACCAAUUUUGAAAUUUCUACACGGUGGCAUUGCCGUGCUCCGACGACGGCACCACCACUAGCGGUGGCGGUUUGCCUCAGUCUGACCGUUUUCGACCAAUUUUGGCCGACUUUAUACGUAUCCCUAUGAAAAAAUACGUUAGGGGGUCUCAGUUGGCCGAAAAAAAUCAGAAAACAGAAACCCACUGGUUGUGGGGUUUCCGGGUGCGGCGGCUCAGCCAGCUCAUUUUCGCGGCUGAAAUUUCUUCUUCAGUCAACCUGCAAAAAAAAAAAACGAUGAACACAACGGUAGAAAAAUCGCACGAAACGGGAAACAUAUAAUAGCUCAUCGGAGGAGGUUGCAGAUUUUGUCUGCCGCUGCUCUACCGGGCUUUGCUCGCAGUUUUUAACUCACUUGUUGUUCGUUUUGCCCCAAUAUGGCCACAUGAGUGCUUGGAAUUGAAUUCUGAGCUGGUAGGAGAAUUUUUACCUUCUUUGGCGGUCGAAGGUGACUCUGAUGUAGCAGCGGUCGGCGGUCGGCUCUCUUCUCCAGCGUCUGGUUUUUCUUCUCCGGCAGGGGAUUGACGGUUAGGAUUCGAGUC
This 673-nucleotide long non-coding RNA is filed under the name Carica papaya (papaya). RNAcentral's name for it is "long non-coding RNA (CPAP_LNC014312)". The record is from RNAcentral. Lineage: Eukaryota; Viridiplantae; Streptophyta; Magnoliopsida; Brassicales; Caricaceae.